Unclassified non-coding RNA from Cricetulus griseus (Chinese hamster), 290 nucleotides. Its record names the gene 7SK. It matches the Rfam family "7SK RNA". Rfam says of the family: 7SK was discovered as an abundant small nuclear RNA in the mid-70s but a possible function has only recently been suggested. Two independent studies have found that 7SK RNA binds the CDK9/cyclin T complex (known as elongation factor P-TEFb). NCBI's taxonomy places the organism in Eukaryota, Metazoa, Chordata, Mammalia, Rodentia, Cricetidae. The record is from Ensembl.
GGAUGAGAGGGCGAUCUGGCUAUGAGAUCUGUCACCCUAUUGAUUGCCAGGGUUGAUUCGGCUGAUCUGACUGGCUAGGCAGGUGUCCCCUUCCUCACCACACCCCUCACAAAGCUUCCUGCUUGGUCAAAGAGGACAAUGGUCUUUGGUCAUGGAUAUACGAGUAGCUGUGCUCUCCUGCUAGAACCUCCAAAGAAGCUCUCAAGAUACCACAAUCGAAAUGGGGCAAAUGGACAGGCCCCAAACCAAAGCAACAACUAAAACCAUCCAAAGCAACAUAAUCAUAAUGU